This is a small nuclear RNA of Cavia porcellus (domestic guinea pig), 161 nucleotides long. Its record names the gene U1. It matches the Rfam family "U1 spliceosomal RNA". Rfam says of the family: U1 is a small nuclear RNA (snRNA) component of the spliceosome (involved in pre-mRNA splicing). Its 5' end forms complementary base pairs with the 5' splice junction, thus defining the 5' donor site of an intron. There are significant differences in sequence and secondary structure between metazoan and yeast U1 snRNAs, the latter being much longer (568 nucleotides as compared to 164 nucleotides in human). The record is from Ensembl. Lineage: Eukaryota; Metazoa; Chordata; Mammalia; Rodentia; Caviidae.
ACACUAACCUGGCAGGGGAGACGCCGCGGCCGCGAAGGUGGUUCCCCAGGGCGACUCGCAUCUUGCACUGUGGCUGCGCUGACCCCUGCGAUUUCCCCAAGUGUGGGAAACGCGACUGCGUAAUUUAUUGUAGUUGGGGACUGCGUUCGCGCUCUCUCCUG